This 426-nucleotide ribosomal RNA is filed under the name uncultured cyanobacterium. RNAcentral describes it as "bacterial SSU rRNA". It matches the Rfam family "Bacterial small subunit ribosomal RNA", at positions 356 to 795 of the family's 1533-position model. Lineage: Bacteria; Bacillati; Cyanobacteriota. The record is from RNAcentral.
GGGGAAUUUUCCGCAAUGGGCGAAAGCCUGACGGAGCAAUACCGCGUGAGGGAAGACUGCCUAUGGGUUGUAAACCUCUUUUUUCAGGGAGGAACAAAAUGACGUGUACCUGAAGAAUAAGCAUCGGCUAACUCCGUGCCAGCAGCCGCGGUAAGACGGAGGAUGCAAGUGUUAUCCGGAAUCACUGGGCGUAAAGCGUCUGUAGGUGGUUUAAUAAGUCAACUGUUAAAUCUUGAGGCUCAACUUCAAAAUCGCAGUCGAAACUAUUAGACUAGAGUAUAGUAGAGGUAAAGGGAAUUUCCAGUGGAGCGGUGAAAUGCGUAGAUAUUGGAAAGAACACCGAUGGCGAAAGCACUUUACUGGGCUAUUACUAACACUCAGAGACGAAAGCUAGGGUAGCAAAAGGGAUUAGAUACCCCUGUAGUC